AAAAGUCAUGGAGGCCAUGGGGUUGGCUUGAAACCAGCUUUGGGGGGUUCGAUUCCUUCCUUUUUUGUCUAGAUUUUAUGUAUACGGGUUCUUCGAAUGUGUGUGUUGUGGGAAGAAAGUUAGAUUUACGCCGAUGAAUAUGAUAGCGAAAUGGAUUUUGGCGUAGGUUUGGUCUAGGGUGUAGCCUGAGAAUAGGGGAAAUCAGUGAAUGAAGCCUCCUAUGAUGGCAAAUACAGCUCCUAUUGAUAGGACAUAGUGGAAGUGGGCUACAACGUAGUACGUGUCGUGUAGUACGAUGUCUAGUGAUGAGUUUGCUAAUACAAUGCCAGUCAGGCCACCUACGGUGAAAAGAAAAAUAAAUCCUAGGGCUCAGAGCACUGCAGCAGAUCAUUUCAUAUUGCUUCCGUGGAGUGUGGCGAGUCAGCUAAAUACUUUGACGCCGGUGGGGAUAGCGAUGAUUAUGGUAGCGGAGGUGAAAUAUGCUCGUGUGUCUACGUCUAUUCCUACUGUAAAUAUAUGGUGUGCUCACACGAUAAACCCUAGGAAGCCAAUUGAUAUCAUAGCUCAGACCAUACCUAUGUAUCCAAAUGGUUCUUUUUUUCCCGGAGUAGUAAGUUACAAUAUGGGAGAUUAUUCCGAAGCCUGGUAGGAUGAGAAUAUAAACUUCAGGGUGACCGAAAAAUCAGAAUAGGUGUUGGUAUAGAAUGGGGUCUCCUCCUCCGGCUGGGUCGAAGAAGGUGGUGUUGAGGUUACGGUCUGUUAGUAGUAUAGUGAUGCCAGCGGCUAGGACUGGGAGAGAUAGGAG
RNAcentral lists this long non-coding RNA (805 nucleotides) under Homo sapiens (human). RNAcentral's name for it is "long non-coding RNA NONHSAT150931.1". Lineage: Eukaryota; Metazoa; Chordata; Mammalia; Primates; Hominidae. The record is from RNAcentral.